RNAcentral lists this ribosomal RNA (253 nucleotides) under uncultured bacterium. Its description in RNAcentral is "partial 16S ribosomal RNA". It matches the Rfam family "Bacterial small subunit ribosomal RNA", at positions 524 to 776 of the family's 1533-position model. The record is from RNAcentral.
UACAGAGGUCUCGAGCGUUAGGCGGAAUCACUGGGCUUAAAGCGUGUGUAGGCGGAUCGGUAAGUACCUUGUGAAAUCCCACAGCUUAACUGUGGAACUGCUUGGUAUACUGCCAGUCUUGAGCCAGCUAGGGGCGACCGGAACAGACGGUGGAGCGGUGAAAUGCGUAGAUAUCGUCUGGAACGCCAAUGGUGAAAACAGGUCGCUGGGGCUGUGCUGACGCUGAGACACGAAGGCCAGGGGAGCAAACGGG